UAAUACGGAGGGUGCAAGCGUUAUCCGGAUUCACUGGGUUUAAAGGGUGUGUAGGCGGGCUGUUAAGUCAGUGGUGAAAUCCCCGGGCUCAACCUGGGAACUGCCGUUGAUACUAUCAGUCUUGAAUUCUGUUGAGGUGGGCGGAAUACAUCAUGUAGCGGUGAAAUGCUUAGAUAUGAUGUAGAACACCGAUUGCGAAGGCAGCUCACUAAGCAGCGAUUGACGCUGAGGCACGAAAGCGUGGGGAUCAAACAGGAUUAGAUACCCUGGUAGUCCACGCCCUAAACGAUGAUUACUCGACAUAUGCGAUACACUGUAUGUGUCUGAGCGAAAGCAUUAAGUAAUCCACCUGGGAAGUACGACCGCAAGGUUGAAACUUAAAUGAAUUGACGG
Molecule: ribosomal RNA, 393 nt
Filed under: uncultured bacterium
Lineage: Bacteria
Description: bacterial SSU rRNA
Rfam family: Bacterial small subunit ribosomal RNA
Source: RNAcentral